This 498-nucleotide ribosomal RNA is filed under the name uncultured bacterium. Its description in RNAcentral is "partial 16S ribosomal RNA". It matches the Rfam family "Bacterial small subunit ribosomal RNA", at positions 30 to 523 of the family's 1533-position model. The record is from RNAcentral.
AUUGAACGCUGGCGGCAUGCUUUACACAUGCAAGUCGAACGGUAACAGGCCUUCGGGCGCUGACGAGUGGCGAACGGGUGAGUAAUGCAUCGGAACGUGCCCAGUCGUGGGGGAUAACUAUCCGAAAGGAUAGCUAAUACCGCCUACGAUCUGCGGAUGAAAGCGGGGGACCUUCGGGCCUCGCGCGAUUGGAGCGGCCGAUGUCAGAUUAGGUAGUUGGUGGGGUAAAGGCUCACCAAGCCAACGAUCUGUAGCUGGUCUGAGAGGACGACCAGCCACACUGGGACUGAGACACGGCCCAGACUCCUACGGGAGGCAGCAGUGGGGAAUUUUGGACAAUGGGCGCAAGCCUGAUCCAGCAAUGCCGCGUGCAGGAAGAAGGCCUUCGGGUUGUAAACUGCUUUUGUACGGAACGAAACGGCUCUGGUUAAUACCCGGGGCUAAUGGCGGUACCGUAAGAAUAAGCACCGGCUAACUACGUGCCAGCCGCCGCCGUAA